Non-coding RNA from Elaeis guineensis (African oil palm), 2612 nucleotides. NCBI's taxonomy places the organism in Eukaryota, Viridiplantae, Streptophyta, Magnoliopsida, Arecales, Arecaceae. The record is from RefSeq and is a predicted model, not a curated record.
CCCGUCCUUUUGUUUGGUUUCUACUUUCUAUCACCUCUCUCUCUCUCUCUCUCCCUCUCUCGCAGUUGGCGAUGGCUCUCGCCACCUCCCCUUGGUUUCGCCAAAGCUCGUGCCUUCUCUCCUGAGAUCGAUGCCAUCUCUCAUUCCCUUCGUCAGCUCUUCUCCCCUCCCAAAACCUUUCGCCAUCCUCUUCGACCCGUCUCCUCCUUCCCAAAAUCGCAUAUUUUCUCGUUAAAAAUCGCUCUUUUUUCUCUCGCUGUUUCUUAGUCCGCUCUUUGAGAUCUUGAAUCCCUUCUUGGCCUCUUCUCCUCUCUCAACUUCGAUCGGAACGUUCUCGAGUUCUAGCUUCUGGCCGCUCCGCUUUUGGAGCUUCUCUCCUCCCUUAUUCCGGCUUUGCUCUGUUCUUCUCCAAUGGCGGGCGCCGCCGUGGCCUCGCCGCUGUGCACGUGGCUGGUGGCGGCGUGCAUGACGGUGGCGUGCGACAAGGAGCGGCCGCUGGGGCCGGGGAGUGCGUCCCCCCGGCGGAGGUGGCGGAGGGCGUCGCUCUCCGGCGGCGUGGGCCGGGGUUCGCCGAGGCGGCUGAUCUCGGCCUUCUGUGGGGCGGGGAUCCAGGGGUUGAUGAGCUCGUGCCUAGCCUUCGAGCCCUGCGCCGAGUUCUACAGCUCGAGAAAUGGGUCGGCGUUCUUUGGGGGGGAUGGCUUCUCUCUGCUUGGGCGGCAGAAUGCUGAGACUACUCGAAGGCAGCGAAGGGGUGCCCGUUCUUCUCCUUCUUCUGUUGCAGGAAAAGUCAUGUCCAUUGCUGUGCAGCCUGAAAAGAAGGUUGCAGAGAAAGAGAGAACCCAAACCAAACAGCGGAGGGUUGUUGUGACGGGGAUGGGUGUGGUGACUCCACUAGGCCAUGAUCCAGAUCAUUUCUAUGAAGAGCUCCUCAAGGGUGUUAGUGGCAUAAGUGAAAUAGAAACAUUCGACUGUUCCAGUUAUCCAACGAGGAUUGCAGGAGAAAUUAAAUCUUUUUCCUCGGAUGGAUGGGUGGCACCAAAACUAUCCAAAAGGAUGGACAAGUUUAUGCUUUACUUACUUACUGCUGGCAAGAAAGCAUUGGAAAAUGGUGGACUUACAGAAGAGGCUAUGAGUUGGUUGGAUAAGGAAAGAUGUGGAGUUCUCAUUGGGUCUGCAAUGGGUGGAAUGAAAGUUUUUAAUGAUGCAAUUGAGGCUUUAAGGAUCUCGUACAAGAAGAUGAACCCCUUUUGUGUACCCUUUGCGACUACGAAUAUGGGCUCUGCAAUGCUUGCAAUGGAUCUAGGUUGGAUGGGCCCAAACUAUUCUAUUUCUACUGCAUGUGCAACUAGCAACUUCUGUAUUUUGAAUGCAGCAAACCAUAUUAUAAGAGAUGAAGCUGAUGUGAUGCUUUGUGGUGGCUCUGAUGCAGCAAUUAUACCAAUUGGAUUGGGGGGUUUUGUGGCAUGCGGAGCACUUUCACAAAGGAACAGUGAUCCAGUGAAAGCUUCUCGCCCCUGGGAUGUUGAUUGUGAUGGAUUUGUUAUGGGGGAAGGGGCUGGCGUGCUUUUGUUAGAAGAACUGGAGCAUGCUAAGCAAAGAGGAGCAGAGAUCUAUGCUGAGUUUCUAGGAGGAAGCUUCACCUGUGAUGCUUACCACAUGACAGAGCCACAUCCUGAAGGAACAGGCAUCCUUCUUUGCAUUGAGAAGGCGCUAGCAGAAUCAGGAGUAGCCAGAGAGGAUGUCAAUUAUGUAAAUGCUCAUGCAACUUCAACACCAUCUGGUGAUUUAAAAGAAUAUCAAGCUCUAAUUCACUGUUUUGGCCAGAAUCCAGAGCUGAGAGUGAACUCGACAAAAUCUAUGAUUGGUCAUCUACUAGGAGCUGCCGGUGCGGUGGAAGCCAUUGCUGCAGUACAAGCAAUUCGAACAGGGUGGGUUCAUCCAAACGUUAAUCUAGACAACCCAGAUGAAAAUGUGGCUUAAAAGCCAUUUGUCACGAUUGGAGCCUCUUGGAAGUUGACUUAAAGAUGUUGAUUCAGGAUGUGAAUAAGCUGGUGGGCUCAAAGAAGGAAAGAUUGGAUGUGAAGGUGGCCCUGUCAAACUCUUUUGGCUUUGGUGGCCACAACUCGUCUAUCCUGUUUGCACCAUACAAAUAAGCAUCAGCUAUGGGCCUACAAAAGCAUCAAGGUCAUCUUACAUGUAAUUUGUAUCAGAAAUGACUGUGUGGUGCUUAUGUUUUUAUUUGGCACCAACAUCUUUAUCAUAUGGAAUUGGUCUAGAUCCGUUAUAGCUCAUAAUAGAAUGGUAUAUAGUGCACUACUUUCCAUUUGCUGCACUUGGGGCUGCUAUUGGGUCGGGUCGGAUGUGGGUUUAAUAAACCUGGACCUAGACUUGUUGUUGUUUUGGGUCUCUAAAUUUUGUCCCAGAUUCAGCCGCUAAGGAUCUUGUCGGGUUUUAUUUAAAAUAAUAAAAAUAUCAUAAAUUCAUUGAGUCUUGCGGUCGUUGGUAUAUUUAGGUUCCUAUUGGUUAGUGAACUAUGUAUAUAAUAAAGGGAAUAACAUUUGUAAAAUUGUGAUUAUCUUAGUAUAUUAAUCUAUUUGACUUUUGUUGACUCA